CAAGGUUUAGGGGGGGCUCUGGGUGUUUAGCCACUUCAAAGUCUCCGAAUCUUUACACUACUACUUGAACCCCUAAAACCCUCUGAAAUGGCCGCCUCAACCGCCGCCAGAUCCAUUUUCCGGUCCUGCGCCGGCCGAAGCUGCGCCUCAGCGGCACGGUUCGCCACUGAAGCGAAAGCUGCUCGCUCACCGUUUCGCAUCGGAGCCAAGCAACCUACAUCAUCCCCCGCUCUCAGGUGUCCUGUUGAAUUGAGCUUCUGUGUGGAGUCGAUGCUGCCCUACCACACUGCCACGGCUUCGGCUUUGAUGACUUCCAUGCUUUCCAUCACUCGCCGCAGUUACGGUUGGCUUCCAGAAGGUAUCUAGCGAACACUUGUAGGGUCCCUUGAUGUCGUUGUCUUCCUUCUAAUUUUCUGCUUGCAAUAAUGAUGCAUGAUCAAUUUCCAAUGAGUCCAGUAGAAGUUUUGUUCAAAGUUCAUGCACUUGAAGAGAAAGAGACUUGGAAGCCUUAAUGAGAUGCAUACUUACAGGACUCUAAACUGAAAAUAAGCCGUUGCUGUUGUUUCUAGUUAAUUGUUUUCCUUUUUUUUUUUUUUUGGAUUAGUCUAAACACCAUGAGGAUUGAGAUGUAAAAUUGGUAUGCCUACGGUAUCUACAUAUAUAUCAUCUUCUCUACAAUGUUGUCAUUUUUGUUAUCUUGGUAUAAGGCAGCUUCGUGUAUCUAGCUUUUGUUUCGUAAAAGUAAACACAAUUGCAUUUGUGGCAGUGAGGUGUUAUAGCUUCUGAUAUGGUUGAUUUAGAAAAGGUUCUUACAUGUUGGAGUUCAAGCCAAAGCUCUUACAGCCAAACUCUUCUUAUAUGUCAGCCCUUGCACUUUUUAGUGUGAGAGUAUAGUCACCUAGUUGAGUUUGAGUUCACAGGAUUUUGGUUCAUAAUAUAGAAAGUUGCAAAGGUUGAUAGGGACAAUGAGCUGACACUUUGAGUUCACUUCCCCAUUUUUCCUCUUCCUUUAUGGUUUUGCCAUGUCCCUUUAAGAUUUCCCCAGUAAGCUGACAUUUA
RNA transcript from Rosa rugosa (rugosa rose), 1059 nucleotides. It is a transcript of the gene named protein NUCLEAR FUSION DEFECTIVE 6, mitochondrial-like, with no coding region annotated. The record is from RefSeq and is a predicted model, not a curated record. Lineage: Eukaryota; Viridiplantae; Streptophyta; Magnoliopsida; Rosales; Rosaceae. The transcript is spliced from 4 exons.